AAAGAAGCAGAGAUGGGAACUGUGCUCCAUAGUUUCUGCUAUAAAAGAAUAACUAAAAAACCGAAGCUUCAACAUCAAGUCCAGAAAAAUCACACAUAUAAAAUACCCUUAUCAUACAUCACUUGGUAAUUGACUCCCUGAUACCAAGGCAUUGCAAUUCCAUUCAAAUAUACAUAUAUUCACCACCACGAACAGCAUUUGCAGCUCCUUUUCUUUCUUCUUCGGCCUCUUUCUCUCGCUCCUUCCAGCUCUCGUAUUUGUGGUCGUCGGUGGGCAAUUCAUGUCGACAAAUCGGACAAGAGUUAUGCUCAUCCAGCCAGGGCUUCAAACAAGGUGGGUGGAAUGUGUGUUUGCAAGGCAAUUCCUGCAUCUUGUCAUCAACAGCCAAG
RNAcentral lists this unclassified non-coding RNA (389 nucleotides) under Hevea brasiliensis (rubber tree). The record is from RNAcentral. Lineage: Eukaryota; Viridiplantae; Streptophyta; Magnoliopsida; Malpighiales; Euphorbiaceae.